Molecule: long non-coding RNA, 1171 nt
Filed under: Bos indicus x Bos taurus (hybrid cattle)
Lineage: Eukaryota; Metazoa; Chordata; Mammalia; Artiodactyla; Bovidae
Description: lncRNA (ENSBIXG00005017676.1)
Source: RNAcentral
CUUCCUGCUAAAGAGAUGGAGCGGGACAGGGCCGUCUUGUUCUGGAGCUGGAGAUCCCCGAACUGGACUCCCAUGGGGGAGACUGAGGCCAGAUCCUAGGAAGGACUUUCCAGUCCGAAUGAUAGUCUUCACCCAAGAGCUUGGCAGAUGGACCCCAGUGAACUAUGCAACACAGCCAGCAUCCAUGGCCAUUGCUUCCCUGCCUUCAACUACAGGGAAAUGGAAUGCGCAUUCACAAAAUGCGACUGUGUCUCACAAGAGAACUCCUGAGAACUGAGUGAGCAAGUUUAAUUAUGUGCAUUGCUGGAGUUCCAGGUCUUUCCUCUGGAGGACAUUCCCCCCUAAAGUUGCUGACGUCUGAUUCUUACUGGAUUUCAGAAGGCAAGUGAACCAGAGGAAGCCAAAACCUCUGCCAGUUAACAGGAUAACCAAUUAACCAAACCAGUGAGAGGGAACACGGGAAUGCCCAAAUCUAGCUUUGGAGUUCCAUCUUCAUUCUUCCAGCAGUUAGCAAGGAGCACAUGUGACAUAGGCCAGACUGGUAAUUCCUGAAUCACUAGGCUUUGCAAGGUUCUAAAUCCUAUUUAUUGAGCUGCAUGGACUGUGCCUCUGACCCAGAAGGGAAAGUAGGCCCAGGUUACAUGCUGACAUAAGGAAAGAAUAAUUUUGUGUUCCAAGUAAGCUGAAGGGAUCCCCAUGGCAGAGGCCAUUCAUUGUCCCUAACUAGCUCUCCCUCUGUCCCCCUCCCCUCGCUAUAUAUAUAUAUAUAUAUAUAUUUUUUUUUUUUUGGCUACGCUGGGUUUUCAUUGUAGCACAUGGGUCUCUAGUUGUGGUGUGCAGGCUAAGUUCCCCAACCAGGGAUCAAACCCAUUUCCCCUGCAUUGGGAGGCAGAUUAUCAACCACUGGACAAUCAGAGAAGUCCCAUUCUUCACUAUUUAAAAGUAAUAGAAUUUUAGGUGGGCACAUAGCCUCCUGGAGAAAAAAAAAUUAUUUUCCCAGCUUCCUUUGCAGCGAGUUGUGGCAUAUGACUAAGUUCUGGUCAGUGGAAUGUAAGUAGAAGUCUUGCAUGGAACUUCUGGGAAGUAUCCUUAAGAGGAGUGGUCUUUCUCUGUUCCUUUUAACAUUUAUUUAGAAUCUAGUCCUGAUGGCUGGAGCUCAUGCAGCCAUCUG